This is a long non-coding RNA of Callithrix jacchus (white-tufted-ear marmoset), 1636 nucleotides long. The record is from Ensembl. Lineage: Eukaryota; Metazoa; Chordata; Mammalia; Primates; Cebidae.
CAUAUAGUGAUUUCAGUAGAACUGAUGAUCACUGAUAGUCGUAUUGAUUUAACCAUAAUACAAUUCAGAAGAGAAAUGUCCUUCUUUACUUCUGACCUGGCUUGUUUGGUGGGGCCUGAUCACAUGCCAAGAUACCAUUAGGAUUAACAAGCUCUUGUCUAAAUGAGACUCUGGAAUUUGCAGGGCCUCAUUGCCCAUAAAGUUUAACUCCUUAUUCUAUUUCUGCUCAUUCUUUAGUGUGUUCAUUCAUUUAUUCAAUCAAUCAUCUAUUCACAGACAUGAAGCGGGGUUCUUAUUCUGCACAAGGAACUUUGCAAGAGAUGGAUAAUAGCUGGGUCACCUCCGGUCACCAGGCAUCCCUCUGGAGAGAAGGAAAGAAAGAAAAAAAAGGGAGUGAAGGAGAGGAAGAAAGAGGAAGAAAAAGCCUUGACGUUUCUCUCCUUUGAAAGUAGAGGUGCGGCAGGGCAGCCUGUGCCAGCAAGGAAACAAACGUCCAGGGGAGAGAGGGAGGCAGUCCCUAUGUGGCUCCCAUGGAGACCCCAGGACAGGGGUAAAGUAGGCAGCAGGCUCCUUGUGAUCUCUCGCUCUGCUGCUCUCAGUAGAGCAGGAAUGAUUGGAACCACGCAGCAGUGAAUUUCAUGAUAGGAUAAUAUGGACACAUUUCCACUGCAGAAGGGAAUCGGGCUGUCUUGCCUCUCAGCACGCCUACUCCAGUGGGAGUCUGAAAUUACUGUCUUCAAACCCUCCAUUCACCUCGUUCCUCUUAUACCUUUCAUAUUUUCAGAAAAUCAGUACUGUGGUUAAUAAUAAAUAGAUGUAUUGUUACCUUUUAGUAAGAGCCAUAUUAUUUAGGGACAGUUUAUAUCAAUUUAAACACAUAUACUGUGUAUUUGGUGUGUGCGCGUGCGUGUGUAUCUCCAUUUAGACUUUGUAGUACAAGGGUCUGCUUUCUCCACUUUUGUCAUUCUUCCCUAAUAAACUGGUGUGUAUGUGUUUAUAUAUAUACACACACAAUUAGAUUUCGUUUACUUAUUCAUUCUCAAAGAUCAAAAGACAGGCAAGCCAGCAAAACAGACAGUGAUCACCUCAACAGCAUGUACUAGGUAACAAUUUCAUUUAAUGCACUGAUACCAGGUACUGUGGUCAAUAUAAAAAUGUAUAAGACCUGAUCACUCUCCCAGGGCCUUCUAGUCUACGAAAGCAGAUUAAGCUACAGAGACACAUGAUCAAUUCAAAAUAGAAAUUGUCAGUGUGAAAUACAAGAAAGCGCUUCGAGGUUUCUGAAGACAGUAAGAUUAUGUCUGUUUUGGGGGAUCAGAAAGUGUUCUGUGGGAUGCCUUCUGCACCGAGCUCAGAAGGAGGGAGCUUUGGAUACAUAGUGGUGGGUGGGUGGAGAUGGGGCACCCCAGGAGGUGGGAUAGUGCCCCUGGAAAAGCGCUGAGCACUUUCUGGACCUUUUAAAAAUUUAUUUAUUUUACCAAUGGACAAGAUAUGGCAUCUGGAUCCUUAAAUAGGCUGUUUGGCUGUGCUGUGGAGUUGUGAGUAUUAAGUUCUACCACAGCGAGAUCCUGAGAGUCUUUUGGUGUCACUAAGCAGUGACAUCAGUUUGAAUUUCACCAGUUGUAUUCGUUCCCUA